GACGAACGCUGGCGGCGUGCUUAACACAUGCAAGUCGAACGGUGAAGCUCCAGCUUGCUGGAGUGGAUCAGUGGCGAACGGGUGAGUAACACGUGAGCAACCUGCCCCUGACUCUGGAAUAAGCGCUGGAAACGGCGUCUAAUACUGGAUACGAGAAGGGUCCGCAUGGGCACUUUCUGGAAAGUUUUUCGGUUGGGGAUGGGCUCGCGGCUUAUCAGCUUGUUGGUGAGGUAUUGGCUCACCAAGGCGACGACGGGUAGCCGGCCUGAGAGGGCGACCGGCCACACUGGGACUGAGAUACGGCCCAGACUCCUACGGGAGGCAGCAGUGGGGAAUAUUGCACAAUGGGCGAAAGCCUGAUGCAGCGACGCCGCGUGAGGGAUGACGGCCUUCGGGUUGUAAACCUCUUUCAGCAGGGAAGAAGCGAAAGUGACGGUACCUGCAGAAGAAGCACCGGCUAACUACGUG
RNAcentral lists this ribosomal RNA (468 nucleotides) under uncultured bacterium. RNAcentral describes it as "partial 16S ribosomal RNA". It matches the Rfam family "Bacterial small subunit ribosomal RNA", at positions 28 to 507 of the family's 1533-position model. The record is from RNAcentral.